This 279-nucleotide ribosomal RNA is filed under the name uncultured bacterium. RNAcentral's name for it is "partial 16S ribosomal RNA". It matches the Rfam family "Bacterial small subunit ribosomal RNA", at positions 506 to 784 of the family's 1533-position model. The record is from RNAcentral.
UGCCAGCCGCCGCGGUAACACGCACUGUGCGAACGUUAUUCGGAAUCACUGGGCUUAAAGGGUGCGUAGGCGGCUUAACAAGUCAGGUGUGAAAUCCCACGGCUCAACCGUGGAACUGCGCUUGAAACUGUUAGGCUUGAGUAUCUCAGGGGUGAGCGGAACUGCCAGUGGAGCGGUGAAAUGUGUUGAUAUUGGCAGGAACACCGGUAGCGAAAGCGGCUCACUGGGGGAUUUCUGACGCUGAGGCACGAAGGCCAGGGUAGCGAACGGGAUUAGAUA